This is a non-coding RNA of Ceratotherium simum simum (southern white rhinoceros), 130 nucleotides long. NCBI's taxonomy places the organism in Eukaryota, Metazoa, Chordata, Mammalia, Perissodactyla, Rhinocerotidae. The record is from RefSeq and is a predicted model, not a curated record.
AAGAGUGGAACUUUUAGCAAGAGGUCAAAUUUAAGAGACCAUCAGUUUAAUAUAGACUGUUAUAUACACAGCUUAUUAUAUAUGAAUCCCAUGGUAAUCACAAAACAGAAACCUAUAACAAGCAGAAAAA